Octopus sinensis (East Asian common octopus) is the source of this 190-nucleotide long non-coding RNA. RefSeq lists it as uncharacterized. Lineage: Eukaryota; Metazoa; Mollusca; Cephalopoda; Octopoda; Octopodidae. The transcript is spliced from 3 exons. The record is from RefSeq and is a predicted model, not a curated record.
GACAAGUAUGUAGGCAUGUAUGUCAUUAUUCAGGUUGUUUCAAGAUUUCUUGCCAGUAGAAAAAGACCCGGUUUCUAACCGAGAUCCAAGGCUCCUUCAUUGGAAUUUCAACAUCAACAACAGGGUAUUUUUGUAUGUGUGUAUGUAUGUAUGUAUGCAUGUAAUGAUGAUUUGUAUUUUUCUUUAUGUU